Long non-coding RNA from Oncorhynchus tshawytscha (Chinook salmon), 779 nucleotides. The record is from Ensembl. Lineage: Eukaryota; Metazoa; Chordata; Actinopteri; Salmoniformes; Salmonidae.
ACUAGGCUUUAGCUCGGCAGGCUAACAGAGACACGCAGGACAUCCAGGGUUUCUCGUCAGUCAUAAAGUCCAUAAAGGAUAUUGUUGGAAUGAUUAAGCAGGGACCUUCGUGUGGGUGUGUGUGUGUGUGUGUGAGUAAAACUGCACACUUUAUUGCUUUGAGGGACAAAGUCCCAAAACCCCGUUUUAUCAGAAAACAUUCAUAGUGAAAGUUAGAAAAGAACAAGCCACGGAAAAGCAAGAGCAAGUGACACAAUUCUGUCGGAUAAAAUUAGGAGGCUUCUCUCAGACCAGAAGAACCAUGUGACAUCUGCUCUGAGCGCAGAGCCAUGAAGCUUUGUCUGACCUGCUCUGUCUACUACUGUGAGAAACACAUGAGGAAGCACUUCAUAAUACAAGCACUGAGGAGACACGUCAUGGUGGAUGUCACUGAAGAAGUCGUACUACAGAGAAACACCUCGGAGAAGAAGAGAGAGGAGCAGGAGGAAGAGGGAAGGAGACAGGGACAGGAGGAGGGGCUGAGGUGGCAGACGAGGAAGGAGGACUUUAGGGAAGAGGAGAGGGGGCACCAGGAGGCUGUGGAACAACAGUGCAGAGAGAAGGAGAGGAAGAGAGAGGAGAAGGAGGAAGAGGGAAGGAGACAGGGACAGGAGGAGGGGCUGAGGUGGCAGACGAGGAAGGAGGACUUUAGGGAAGAGGAGAGGGGGCACCAGGAGGCUGUGGAACAACAGUGCAGAGAGAAGGAGAGAGAGAGAGAGGGAAGGAGGAAGAGAGAGGGG